CCACAAUGUGGGCAACCACGAUGGGGGAACUCCAAGUGCCUACACUUUUGUGUAGGCUGUUCUCGAGCCUAAAAAGCUCGAGAAGUAAGGGCCGGGUAAGACGGGUGCCAGCCGCCGCGGUAAUACCCGCGGCCCGAGUGGUGCUCAUUAUUAUUGAGCCUAAAGCGUCCGUAGCUGGCCGGGCAAAUCUCCGGGUAAAUCGGACGGCUCAACUGUCCGAAUUCCGGAGACACUGCUCGGCUUGGGAUCGGGAGAGGGUGAAGGUACUCCCUGGGUAGGGGUAAAAUCCUGUAAUCCGGGGGGGACCACCAGUGGCGAAGGCGUUCACCUAGAACGAAUCCGACAGUGAGGGACGAAGCCCUAGGGCGCAAACGGG
This 376-nucleotide ribosomal RNA is filed under the name uncultured archaeon. RNAcentral's name for it is "bacterial SSU rRNA". It matches the Rfam family "Archaeal small subunit ribosomal RNA", at positions 350 to 727 of the family's 1478-position model. The record is from RNAcentral.